This 130-nucleotide ribosomal RNA is filed under the name Candidatus Omnitrophota bacterium. RNAcentral's name for it is "partial 16S ribosomal RNA". It matches the Rfam family "Bacterial small subunit ribosomal RNA", at positions 1 to 135 of the family's 1533-position model. Lineage: Bacteria; Pseudomonadati; Candidatus Omnitrophota. The record is from RNAcentral.
UUUUCGGAGAGUUUGAUCCUGGCUCAGAGUGAACGCUGGCGGCGUAGAUUAGGCAUGCAAGUCGAGCGAUAUCCUUUUUUUAAGAUGGUGAGGCCGCAAGGUGGAUCUGUCAAGGGAAAAGGAAUAUAGC